GGGUGAGUAACACGUGGGUGAUCUGCCCUGCACUUCGGGAUAAGCCUGGGAAACUGGGGCUAAUACCGGAUAGGAGCUCCUGCUGCAUGGUGGGGGUUGGAAAGUUUCGGCGGUUGGGGAUGGACUCGCGGCUUAUCAGCUUGUUGGUGGGGUAGUGGCUUACCAAGGCUUUGACGGGUAGCCGGCCUGAGAGGGUGACCGGCCACAUUGGGACUGAGAUACGGCCCAG
Molecule: ribosomal RNA, 229 nt
Filed under: uncultured Actinomycetales bacterium
Lineage: Bacteria; Bacillati; Actinomycetota; Actinomycetes; Actinomycetales
Description: partial 16S ribosomal RNA
Rfam family: Bacterial small subunit ribosomal RNA
Source: RNAcentral